AGAGUUCUCGAUGAUGAGAGUGAAGUGCGUCCAAACUCUGCUGUGUACUACAGUAUAUUUUCAAUUAACUGAAGAUUAUCAAUUUUUCCCAACUGUGUUGUAUUUUGGAUGAUUGUGGUUCGUGAUGCUCGUGUACUUUUUCUUUUGUGCAUACUGCUUUCCUAAGAUAUCGCUCACAUCUCCCAACUUUGUCUUGUGCAACAGUGAAAUUUGUUCUGUAAAAUUAUUCAUACAUAAACCCUAAUUCAAUUUUAAUAUUUUUGCAUGAAUGGUUAAAUAUUCUAAAAUACUAUGGUUAGAGAUAUUCAUAUUAAAGGUUUUUAGUUAAUUUAUUAUAAGGAUUUGUUAUGUUUUUCCUUCGAUUUAUUUAAGAUACUGUUCUCAGUAAUUUUUCGAAGUCUUAGGUGGUGGAUGGUGUUAUCUUAGAAUUCAUUAUUUUUGGAGUUGAUUUAUAUGCAUCAGUACUAUUAAUUGCUCCCUUACUUUACAUAGAAUGCAUGCGUAUUUAUGCUGGAAAACAACUAACAGAAUUUGUUGGUAUUCCUUGAUGUUAUAGCCGUAUACCAGAUAAUUUUGCUAUAUUUUGAGACUAGAUGCGUGAGUUAUUGCUGGGAGCUUUUCUUUCAUUUUAACUUGACCUGUUAAUGGUUUUAUUUGAUUCAGACUCAUCUGUUCAUACAGUUGUGAACAUGUUAAUGGUAUUUUGCAUAAAGGAGGAUUUUUUUACUAACUGGGUGAGAGUACUCGGUCAAUCUAGUGUUUAUUUUAUUUCCUAGUUUUGUUUAAGGAUUUCACGGUCAUUAUGUUAACUGUCAUAUGUAUUAAUUUUGCCAAGCUGUUUUCUAGUUUGGCUUUCAUUUUGUCUCUUACUUUUGCUAUAUUUCUCUAAUCAUUCAUAUCAUGACCAAUUUUCUGCAGCAAAAGGCUCUUGCAGCUUUGGAG
This 942-nucleotide unclassified non-coding RNA is filed under the name Hevea brasiliensis (rubber tree). Lineage: Eukaryota; Viridiplantae; Streptophyta; Magnoliopsida; Malpighiales; Euphorbiaceae. The record is from RNAcentral.